UUAAAUCAAAUAUGUAUGGAGUUGGAACUUUUGCCUAAGUUUGUCGCUAGGGGCGCUGUUCUAACUGCAUAUAAAUUUAAGUUA
RNAcentral lists this microRNA precursor (84 nucleotides) under Bombyx mori (domestic silkworm). RNAcentral describes it as "mir-2807 microRNA precursor family". It matches the Rfam family "mir-2807 microRNA precursor family". The record is from Rfam by way of RNAcentral. Lineage: Eukaryota; Metazoa; Arthropoda; Insecta; Lepidoptera; Bombycidae.